This 642-nucleotide ribosomal RNA is filed under the name Triticum aestivum (bread wheat). Its description in RNAcentral is "partial small subunit ribosomal RNA". The record is from RNAcentral. Lineage: Eukaryota; Viridiplantae; Streptophyta; Magnoliopsida; Poales; Poaceae.
AUGAAGAAGCCUAGCCGUUUGUUGGACGAGGAAGAAAUUGUCGUGGAUGCUCCGGUCGGCAAUAAACACGCUCUGAUUUGUGGAAACCAUCUUGCCCAAGUGCGGUGCCAGCCGGAGAGAGAGCGCCUUCACGAACAGCUUCGCGAUGAGAUGAAUGAGACUAAUGGGCCGAUAGUCAAAGAGGGACACCGCAUCUUACUUCUUAGGAAGAAGAGUGAGGAGCGCCUCAUUGAGCCGCUGGAAACCACGCCCGUUGAGUGUAUAGAGUUUGUCGAAGACAGCGCAGAUGUCAUGCUUGAUCACGUCCCAAGCACUCUGGAGAAAUUCGGCGGUAAAUCCAUCGGGGCCUGGCGCCUUCCCAAGCGGCAAGCUCUUGACAGCAGCCCAAAUCUCAUCCUUAGAGAAAGGCACGUCGAGGCCGGAGAGGUCGAAGGGGCCGGUGUGGACUGUAGAAAGAUCGAUGGAGAAAGGGCGUGGCUCCGCCGUUCCAAGAAUUCUGGUGAAGUGAUGGUAGGCGGCUUCAGCAAGCGCGGCCGGGGCGGAGACGGAGGUGUCUCCCACACGCAGCUCCAAGAUUCGGUUCUUCUGCUUGCGGUGUGCAGCGUGCACACGGAAGAACUUUUCGCAGCCAGGAAAGCCUGA